UUUAACCUUUAUAGAACCGGGUUUGUUUUCUUAACUGUCUUCCCUGUUGAUAUCAUACACGUUUGGAGAAGGAGCUGUCUUUUCAUUCUGUGUUUGUACAAUGCCCUGUGCAACAGUGUCCUGGCCCAUGACUGGAAUACUCAGAUGUCACAAUAAUACUCUGUCUACAUGGAACACUGCAAUGUGACUGUACAUUAAUACCUUCCUGAGGAUCAGCAUUUUCUGUUUCUGAAAAUCCAAUCCAAUCAUAGAAUUGUAGGGCUAAGAGAGACCUCAAGAGAUCAUCUAAUCUAGUUCCCUGCACUCACAGAGGUUAACAAGAAACAAUACUUCAGCUGAGGCAUGAAUCAGCACAGAAUAGAGCACAGAAUAAGUGGAAUUACUUCUGUCUUGCUUAGAACACUCUUGACGAACACUUACGGAUUCUGAACACUUGUGGACACCAAAUAUGAAAAGCAUAUUGAGACUAAUAUUUCAUCAUUCAUUUUGUACAAGAAGAUUCCUAGCAGAAGGCAUUGUCUAUUUGAUUUAAAAUGUAACAUUACUGUAAAAGUUAUUGUUCUACUGUAUAUUAGACUAAGUGUAUUACCAAGAGUGAUUGAUUGCCUCCUCCCCCAAAAAAUAAUUUAUAUAUCAUCAGAAGCACGAUUCACUUAACAUUUAGAAAGCCUUGUUUCUUGUUCCUGUCAUUUGUCACACAUCAGCAACUAAAUCAAUAUAUUAUUCCCCACAAAUAUGGGGCCUGAUUCUAAGAAGAGCU
Pelodiscus sinensis (Chinese soft-shelled turtle) is the source of this 760-nucleotide non-coding RNA. The record is from RefSeq and is a predicted model, not a curated record. Lineage: Eukaryota; Metazoa; Chordata; Testudines; Trionychidae.